GUUGAAACAUCGGUUCGCGUAUGAUCACCGAAGUUAAGCAACUUCGAGCCUGGUCACUAUCUACAUGGGUGACCACUUGCGAAUACCAGCUGUUGCAUA
Molecule: non-coding RNA, 99 nt
Organism: Acanthosepion pharaonis
Lineage: Eukaryota; Metazoa; Mollusca; Cephalopoda; Sepiida; Sepiidae
Source: the annotation of a GenBank genome assembly